CCUACGGGGGGCAGCAGUCGAGAAUCAUUCACAAUGGGGGAAACCCUGAUGGUGCGACGCCGCGUGGGGGAAUGAAGGUCUUCGGAUUGUAAACCCCUGUCAUGUGGGAGCAAAUUAAAAAGAUAGUACCACAAGAGGAAGAGACGGCUAACUCUGUGCCAGCAGCCGCGGUAAUACAGAGGUCUCAAGCGUUGUUCGGAAUCACUGGGCGUAAGGCGUGCGUAGGCUGUUUCGUAAGUCGUGUGUGAAAGGCGCGGGCUCAACCCGCGGACGGCACAUGAGACUGCGAGACUAGAGUAAUGGAGGGGGAACCGGAAUUCUCGGUGUAGCAGUGAAAUGCGUAGAUAUCGAGAGGAACACUCGUGGCGAAGGCGGGUUCCUGGACAUUAACUGACGCUGAGGCACGAAGGCCAGGGGAGCGAAAGGGAUUAGAUACCCCAGUAGUC
RNAcentral lists this ribosomal RNA (446 nucleotides) under uncultured bacterium. RNAcentral's name for it is "partial 16S ribosomal RNA". It matches the Rfam family "Bacterial small subunit ribosomal RNA", at positions 338 to 795 of the family's 1533-position model. The record is from RNAcentral.